UUCACGGAACACUACCGGUUACUUUAUAUUAGUGAUUUGUGUUCUAGAAUGGUUCGAUAAUAAU
This 64-nucleotide small RNA is filed under the name Arabidopsis thaliana (thale cress). RNAcentral describes it as "ATSL264490". Lineage: Eukaryota; Viridiplantae; Streptophyta; Magnoliopsida; Brassicales; Brassicaceae. The record is from RNAcentral.